This 702-nucleotide long non-coding RNA is filed under the name Panax ginseng (ginseng). RNAcentral describes it as "long non-coding RNA (PGIN_LNC018138)". Lineage: Eukaryota; Viridiplantae; Streptophyta; Magnoliopsida; Apiales; Araliaceae. The record is from RNAcentral.
CUUGUGCACAAUUCUAAAAUAAUUUAUAUUAAGGGACGGAGGAAGUAAUUGACUUUAUAGAAGAACAAAUUUGUUCUAAUUUAUUUGUCGUUUAUAAGAGCAAAUCCAAUGGUAAUGUCAAAAUAGCUAUAGUCAUUGCUAUAUUUUGGCACCAAAACGUGCUUUUUGGUGCUAAAAUAGAACCCAGUCUCCAGUGCUUGGUUCUAUUUUAGCACCAAAUUAUUUCAAAUUUAACUAUUUUUCCCUCCAUCUCAUUGUUAAUUACUUUUUCAACUCCAAUUCAACUAUAUACGUUAUUUUUCAAUCCACAAUUAUAGCACCUCCAUUCCACCAUUUUCAACCACCAUUCAACCUAGAUAUUUUUAUUAUCUAGCUUUCUCAUCUAACUUUCCUCAACCACCAUUCUACCCAACUUUCUCAUCUUACUUUCUUCAACCACCAUUCUAUCCAACUUUUCUAUAAAUACACAUUCAACCUCAAUAAGCCACCACACCCAUUCUCAUCUACCUGAUAUACUUUUAUUUCCAAACUAAAAUUAUGAACAAGUUAACCAAGAGGGUAUUGCGGGGAGAUUUCGACGAAGAUUCCUCCGAUGAAGAUGAAGUUGCAAUCGUGAAGAUGCUACUGAUGAACCACUACGAGCAAACGCAAAGCCAUAAUAACCAACAAGGGGGUUAUGUUGGUUCUGUCAGUGGCCGAGCU